Molecule: long non-coding RNA, 300 nt
Filed under: Jatropha curcas
Lineage: Eukaryota; Viridiplantae; Streptophyta; Magnoliopsida; Malpighiales; Euphorbiaceae
Description: long non-coding RNA (JCUR_LNC001265)
Source: RNAcentral
AAAGGCGGCUAACAAUCUCCACCUUGAAAAUACAAUAAAAAAAAAAAAACACAACACUGUCUGCUACCGACAAUCAUAAUUCUUAUCGUCAAGAAUUAUCAUACUCCACCAUAAAAGAGUAUCGCCACUUGGAACCACUUUACCGACUCCAAGAAUUUUCCAUCGGCCAUGUCGGAUCCCGCUAAUAGUUUAUGGUGCAACCCUCCUGUUGACUUUUCCGAGAGUUCAUUAGCCAUCGACAUAUUUUUUUUCCACCACACACUUUGCAUCAACUGUCAACCAAUGCCGUGCGCAUUUCNN